GAUGAACGCUGGCGGCGUGCCUAAUACAUGCAAGUCGAGCGAACAGACGAGGAGCUUGCUCCUCUGACGUUAGCGGCGGACGGGUGAGUAACACGUGGAUAACCUACCUAUAAGACUGGGAUAACUUCGGGAAACCGGAGCUAAUACCGGAUAAUAUAUUGAACCGCAUGGUUCAAUAGUGAAAGACGGUUUUGCUGUCACUUAUAGAUGGAUCCGCGCCGCAUUAGCUAGUUGGUAAGGUAACGGCUUACCAAGGCAACGAUGCGUAGCCGACCUGAGAGGGUGAUCGGCCACACUGGAACUGAGACGCGGUCCAGACUCCUACGGGAGGCAGCAGUAGGGAAUCUUCCGCAAUGGGCGAAAGCCUGACGGAGCAACGCCGCGUGAGUGAUGAAGGUCUUCGGAUCGUAAAACUCUGUUAUUAGGGAAGAACAAAUGUGUAAGUAACUAUGCACGUCUUGACGGUACCUAAUCAGAAAGCCACGGCUAACCACGUG
RNAcentral lists this ribosomal RNA (497 nucleotides) under uncultured bacterium. RNAcentral's name for it is "partial 16S ribosomal RNA". It matches the Rfam family "Bacterial small subunit ribosomal RNA", at positions 28 to 507 of the family's 1533-position model. The record is from RNAcentral.